AUAAUUAAGGUUUACAAUUCAUAGAGUGACCAUAAGACAUAGUGCAUAUUUGACUACUUACAAGCAAUCAAAACAAAGCUGAAAAAGCUCACAUGAAUAGUUGGAUAAGGUUGAGAUAAUUAAGGUUUACAAUUCAUACACUGACCAUAGGACAUGGUGCAUAUUUGACUACUUGCAAGCAAUCAUAAGUAAGAAAGCUAACAAAGCACACAUGAAUAGUUGGAUAAGGCUGAGAUAAUUAAGGUUUACAAUUCACACACUGACCAUAGGACGUGGUGCAUAUCUGACUACUUGCAAGUAAUCAAAACAAAGCUGAAAAAGCUCACAUGAAUAGUUGGAUAAGGUUGAGAUAAUUAAGGUUUACAAUUCAUACACUGACCAUAGGACAUGGUGCAUAUCUGACUACUUGCAAGUAAUCAAAACCAAAGCUGACAAAGCUCAUACGAAUAUAUAGUUGGAUGAAGCGGAGACAAUAAGUCUGACUAGCCCUAGCCCUAGCCCUCUGCAAUAAAUUCAUCAUUAAGCGCCGGGUCCUCAGCAAUAAAUUCCUCAUUAAGCUUCAGGCCCAAAGCAAUAAAUUCCUCAUUAAACCUAGCACCAUAUACUCCAGUAAGAAGUCCUUGCAGAAAAUGCCUGAGAUCAUCAUCAAGAAGAGGCCGCUGUCACACCGAAAAAAAAGCAAGUUAAGCAUACAACCACCCAAAAGAAUACUACUACGUAUA
RNAcentral lists this long non-coding RNA (722 nucleotides) under Triticum aestivum (bread wheat). RNAcentral describes it as "long non-coding RNA (TAES_LNC024693)". Lineage: Eukaryota; Viridiplantae; Streptophyta; Magnoliopsida; Poales; Poaceae. The record is from RNAcentral.